GUUAGGCUCAGCCUCUUCCUGUCUCCCUAGCUCAGUAGCAGAGGGACAGCAGUGUCCAGGCAGCUGAGCUCAAGCUUGUCUCCUUCACCUCUCUGGCCUGCACUCCUUGCACACUAGGACAUGUGUAGAUUUAAAGAGAGUAAAGCCCUGAGAAGUCGGUCUCCUUUGCCAAACCUCACCGCUGGUUAGAACCAUGUCUCUCUCUAUGUGGGUCACUCAGGGGAGGCAGGAGCACCCCCAGACUUGCUGUCUCAGGAGAAAUGACAUGCCUGCAGCCCCAGAAGUGAAGUGGCAAGAGGCCAGAAAGUGCUGAAGGAGCUGAAGUUCCACCAGUGGCUUAUUUAAGUAAUUUCCCAUACCCACAAUCUUUUGAGAGUUGAAGUACAUCUGUUGUAUGCUUUUGACGUCAGCUGUAUGCUAAUUAUGUUCAUGUCCCAUAAUUCCUUUUGCUUACAGUCAAUAAAACAGU
Molecule: long non-coding RNA, 469 nt
Organism: Erinaceus europaeus (western European hedgehog)
Lineage: Eukaryota; Metazoa; Chordata; Mammalia; Eulipotyphla; Erinaceidae
Exons: 3
Source: RefSeq, a predicted model, not a curated record